GAAAAGUAUAGGCCCUAUUUUUGAUUUAUGUAAUCAUGUUGAUAUUUGAAACUAAUUUCACUUUAUUAUUUAUAUCAUAACUUAGUUAAUGACUUAAUAAUUGAAUUAUAUUAUUGUUGAAUAUUGGCUUGCGUAGUAAGUGGGUGAAGAAUCAUCAUAAUUAUUGGUGAAAUGUUGAGUCGUGACAUUAGAAUUGUCUAGUGCUACUCCUUAGGUGGACUACAAUAGUUAAAUGUUGCAUGCAUCCUUUGUGAGUUCAAAAAACUAAAUUCAUAAUAAGGUUUGCGUGUGCAUAGGAUCAUAUUGAGCUUUCUUAUAACAAUGACUCCACUUAACCACUAAGCUACACUAUAUUUUUAUGGCAAGCAGGUUCAUUUUUUCAUACAUGUAUGAUUUCAUCUAUAACAUAUACAUGUAAAUAGUAAAAUUUUGCUAAAGCGGAUUUAGUUACCCUUAUUAUCCGAUGUAAGUUUGCCACUAGCUACUGCAAAGUAUCGUAAAAUACGUAAUGAAAAAUCUAAAGGUAAAAUAUCUUAGGGCUUAUAAAAUUGAUGAUCUAAGGAAUGACAUGCCUGCGCGGACAACACAGAUUCACAUUGCAUAAGUGUGUAUGGAAAAUGCACUUUAACCUUUUAAUUGGUACACUAGGUUUACACUUUUUUGGCAAAAUACAAUUCCUUAAUAAUUUUAACAACAACAACAAAAAAUCUAGUGAAAUUUUACAAAUAAAGUUUGGAAAAAGUAGUGUACGCAAGCCUUACUUCUACGUUGUGCAUGUAGAGAGAUUAUUUUUUGUAAACCUGCGGCUCAGCAUAGUCGUAGCCAUAAGCAAACGAAAUAAUGUAAUGAAAAAAAAGAUAUGAAAAAAGUAGUAACAACUGCAAGAUAAUAGCAAAAGUCAAGCAGAAGCAACAACAUAUAAAUAUAGACAACCAAGAAUAAGACUAAAUAAAAGUACUACUAGAACUACCAGUAAAAACAGACAGAAAGCUCUACUACCUAUUACCUUCAACCCUAAUUCUCGACCUUCAUAAUUUUCUAUCAAAGGUCAUGUUCUCAAUAAGCUAAAGAAGCUUCAUGACCUACCUAAUCACCUUUUCCCAAUACAUCUUUGGCUUCCAUAUACCUCUAGUUGUAUCUUCCAUAAUCAACCUCUCACAACUCUUUUCCGCGGUGUAGUAUAUCUCCUCUUGACAUGCCCGAACUAUCUCAGUCUCCAUUCUCGCAUCUUAUCCUCCAUAGGGACCAUCUCACCUUUUCGUAAAUAUCUAUGUUCCUGACUCUGUCUCUUCUAGUAUGCCCACACAUCCAUCUCAGUAUCCUAAUUUUUGCUAUCUUUAUCUUCUAGACACGAGAGUUCUUGAUUUGCUAAUAAUCCACUCCAAACAAUAUAGUCAGUCUAACCAUCACUAUAUAGAAUUUAUCGUUAAAUUUUUAUGGGUACAUUCUUGUCGCACAAAACAUUAUACAUAAUCCUAUAUUUAUUCACCCUGCUCGAAUACAGUGUGUGAUAUCAUCGUCAAUAUCCCCGUUAUCUUGGAUAACUAGCUCCAGGUACUUGAAACUUUUUCUCUUGGAGAUGACUUGUGUAUCAAGCAUCACUUUCACUUUAGCUUCCUGAGUAGUCAUCAUUGAACUUGGAUUCCAUAUAUUCGAUUUUAGUCCUUCUCAACUUAAAGUCAUUGGACUCUACGGUCUGUCUACAGGCCUCUAGCGUAACCUUAACACAUCCUUGUGUCUCGUCAAUAAGCCCGAUAUCAUGUACAAAUAACAUGCACAAUAGAAUCUCUCAUGGAUAUCUCGCGUCAAUACUUCCAUCGCCAAAGCGAAUAAGAAAUAGAUGUGAGCUGACCACUGGUGCAACUCCAUCACGACAAGGAACAAAACUUCUUCCGUUGUCCUUACCGGACUCUUAGCCCGUCAUACAUGAAUCGCCCUAAUGUGCGCUACAACAAUAUCUCUUAUCUCCAAGCACCUCCAUACGACUUCCCUUGGAACUUUGUUAUACGUUUUUUUUCCAGAUCAAUGAAUACCAUAUGCAAGUCCCUCUUUCUCUUCCUAUAUUGCUCCACCAACCUCCUUAUAAGAUGAGUGGAUUCAGUAGUUGAUUGCCUCGAUAUAAAGCCACAGUGAUUCUCGAAAAUAGAAACACAUCCUCACCCCCAUCUUUACCACCAUCUCCCAAAUUUUUGUAGUAUGACUUAGCAACUUGAUACUCCUAUAAUUAUCACAAUUUUGGAUAAUACCCUUAUUUUUGUAUACGGAAUCAUCGUACUCCAUCUCUAUUCAUCGGGCAUUAUAGAUCCUAAUGAUGACAUUAAACAGUUUAGUGAGCCACUGUAAGAAUGCCCUCCCUGUACUCUUCUAAAAAUUCACUUGGAUCUCGUCUGGCCAGUCGCUCUUCUCCUAUUUAUCUCACACAAUGCCUUCUCAACCUCCUCAGUCUUAAUUAAGGGUGUUAAACAGGCGGGUUAGCCCGGUUUCGGAUCGGUCCAGACCGGUUAAAACCGGACUCGGCCCGGUACAUAAGGGGCUGGAUUGGGCUGGGUUAGGGGGGUCAUGCGGGUUGCUCCGUUUAAGUUUUUAUCCUUUCCGAUCCAACCCGUUAAGUAAAUAGUGAUCGUGAACCGGUUAACCGGCCCGGUCCGGACCGGCAUAAUGGUAAAAUUUUUUUAAAAAAUAUUUUUUUAUAUGGUCGAGAUUUGACCGUUGCCAACGGGUGAAUUGUACAAUUUAUCCCAAUUUUGAUUUUUUCUUAAAAAAAUUAACCCGCCUUUCAAAAACUAUAAAUUACCCCCCCCNNNNNNNNNNNNNNNNNNNNNNNNNNNNNNNNNNNNNNNNNNNNNNNNNNNNNNNNNNNNNNNNNNNNNNNNNNNNNNNNNNNNNNNNNNNNNNNNNNNNNNNNNNNNNNNNNNNNNNNNNNNNNNNNNNNNNNNNNNNNNNNNNNNNNNNNNNNNNNNNNNNNNNNNNNNNNNNNNNNNNNNNNNNNNNNNNNNNNUUUAAUCGCAAUUCAAGUUAAAUCAUGCCUCGUACUUCUAGAGUGCGGCCAUAUGUUUGGCAACACUUUGAGCUAGUGAAAGAAAAUGAGGAAGAUCAGAAAGUAAAGUGCAAGAACUGUGGUCAAAUCUUAAAUCUUCGUUCAAGGUUUGGCACAAAUAGUUAAGGAGGCAUAUAAAGUAUUGUCUUGAGCGUCCUACGGAAAUUCGUAUUUAAGGUUUUAAGACAAUUUGUGUUAUUUAAAAAUUAUUAGACAUAUUUACGCUUAAUAUUUUGGUUUGUUAGAUUAAUUUGAAGUAUUAUUAAUUUAUUAUGCAUGAAAAUUUAGUUUUACUAUUCAUUUGUUAAAUUACUUUUUAAAUGCAAACUUUAAUUUGUAAUUUUGAAAUAAAUAUUACAAUUUAUAAGUGCAAUUUUUUCCAUCUUUCUUGUAUUCUUUAUAUUAAUACAAAGUAUUAAUAUAACGUACAAUAGUUAUACAAAAUAAAAAAAAUUAAAAAAUACACUAAACCCCGUCCGGCCCGGCCCCCUCAACCCGUAUUCAAUUUUUAGCCGAAUGAACUCGAACCCGUUAAACCCAAUAAGCCUCAACCCGUAACUGGUCAGAACCAUAACCCUUACGGGUCCAAAAGAUCCAACCCAGUCCGGUCCGAUCCACCCGUUUAACACCUUUGGUCUUAAUAUGGCUAUAAUAUCCAAAAUUAUGAGGAAUUUCACUGUGCUCCAAAUCACCAACACAAUGCUCCUUUUCCCUCUUCAUUUAAGAAUUUAUGGAUCCCUGGAAAUUUUCAAUUUGUUAAUACUAUUAAUCAUAAUUUUAAUUGUUGACUAGCCCAUUUGUGCUCAACCUAUAGCUAUCAAUCACACGUUUAGUCAUAGUUCGGAGAAGUUGAAAAUUUUAGCCUAUUUGAAUCGAUUCUGACAUCUCUAAAUGUGACCGCAGAUUGACAGGUAGUUGUGUCUAGUUCAUUUCAACUUUCAAAUGUGGACAGGGUUUAGCUAGAUUUGGAAGCAGUAUUCAUGAUCUUUUUUCUUAAUUUUGGUUAAAGUAUAAGUUUUGCAGUAAAUGGUCCUCGUCUAGUUUAGUUAAUUAUUAGUAAAUGACGUCCACUUUUACUUGAUUAACAGAAAUUUAGGAAAUAAAGAAAUUGCAGAUAACGGAUACAUUUGGAUGGAGGUGAGAGAGAUGGGUUGUGUUGGACCAAAACUCUGGUCCCCUUUCAACCAUGGACCACGGUCCAUCUAGGCUCGAUUUGUGUGAAUUUAAAUUGUAAGUAUUUUGUGACUUAUUUUAUUUGACUGCCUCCGUUUAACUUGUAUUUAAUUUUAAAAAAGAAAUUUAAUUAGUACUAUGUACAGAUAAAUUCAAGUUUUUUUCUCCUUUUUCUUCUUUUUCUUAGUUGUUGUGAAAGCGAAUAUAAUUUCAAGGGUAACCCCAAAUACAAAUGUCACAUAUAAGCCCACAUCAACUCCGGGCUGUCACAUCCAUUCCCUUCUAAGGCCCUACUAGGAUUGUAACAACUCAACCCAACUCAGAACAAAGAUGUUGAGUAGAAGCUCAACAGUUUGUACAAAUUUACUUAUGCCUCUUCUUUGGUCCCCAUUAGCAUGUGCUAAAUGGCCCCCGACUACACUUUUUACUGUUCCUAUGUUUUCCCUCAUCAAUUUUUUCUUUUGUAUCACAGAACUAUAACAAUAACAACAACCCAAUAUAAUCUCACUUAGUGAGGUCCGGGGAGGGUAGUGUGUCUGCAGAUCUUACCCCUACCCUGGGAUAGUAAGGCUGUUUCCAAAUAGACCUCCGACAUCCUCCCCUCCAAGAACUUCCCACCUUGCUCUUUGAGGACUCGAACUCACAACCUUUCAAUUGAAAGUAGGGUUUGCUUAAUUUGAUGUUAAAUUCAAAUAUAACCUGGUUAUCAAUUUUACGAGAUUGCAUUAUCCAAAUUUGUAAACCUAACAUAUUGAUUGGCUGAAUUUCCUUAUCAGCUUGGCCUUAUCUCGUCAUGCUGGUCAAUGAACUCCUCCCCCCUCCCCCCUCCCCCAUACCCACUAUGAGUUUGAUGGUUGUGGAGCUUGAUAAGAUAUGAUUUGAUUAAACAAUUAAUUUUGAACAAACCCUUUUUUGUUAAGUUUGUGGUAGAUAAACUGAUGUUCAAUUCUCAAUAUUCUUUCGUGAUUUGAUUAUAAUACAAUUUGAUUUGCAUCUAAUGUUCAUACCGUUUAAAAAAGAAGAUGAUUUACACCCUUUGGCACGAUUGGAUUGUUUCAAUCACUUACUUCGACAAGACUAACUAGUCCAAAUUAAGAGAAGACCGAUUGAAGUGUCCCAUGUCUGUCUACAGUGUUUGGGGUUAAAAUUUCAUUGAGGUUCUAAACGAUGCACACAUAAAAAAGUUUACUUAUACAUACAAUAUAAUUUUUCUCAAAGCGACACAAUCGAACUCCCUUGGUAAACAUAGCUCCGUCGCUGUCUGUCAACACAUCAAAGAUGCAUAUUUGCCUUGCAGUUUCGUUUAUAUUUAGCUAGAUUUACUGAACUAAUAUUCAGGGGGAAGGGGGGGAGACUAGCCUCAUUACUUCCCACUGGGCGAGAGGUGCACCUAACCCACCUACCCACUCAUCAAUCACGGUGUUCAGCUGACUUGCACUGAUAGACCCCUAUUGUAUUGGAAUUAGGCGCCCAUCUUUUUACUGUUGUCAAUGAAUCUCUUCCAUGUUCGAUUCUACUCUAUGUUAGAACAUUUCUGUGAAUGCUAUUCUGAUCUAAGUGGUCUUAUC
This 5778-nucleotide long non-coding RNA is filed under the name Nicotiana benthamiana. RNAcentral describes it as "long non-coding RNA (NBEN_LNC022287)". Lineage: Eukaryota; Viridiplantae; Streptophyta; Magnoliopsida; Solanales; Solanaceae. The record is from RNAcentral.